UACGUAGGUGGCAAGCGUUAUCCGGAAUUAUUGGGCGUAAAGAGCGCGCAGGUGGUUAAUUAAGUCUGAUGUGAAAGCCCACGGCUUAACCGUGGAGGGUCAUUGGAAACUGGUUGACUUGAGUGCAGAAGAGGGAAGUGGAAUUCCUUGUGUAGCGGUGAAAUGCGUAGAUAUAAGGAAGAACACCAGUGGCGAAGGCGGAUUACUGGACGGUAACUGACGGUGAGGCGCGAAAGCGUGGGGAUCGAACAGG
This 253-nucleotide ribosomal RNA is filed under the name uncultured Turicibacter sp. Its description in RNAcentral is "partial 16S ribosomal RNA". It matches the Rfam family "Bacterial small subunit ribosomal RNA", at positions 524 to 776 of the family's 1533-position model. Lineage: Bacteria; Bacillati; Bacillota; Erysipelotrichia; Erysipelotrichales; Turicibacteraceae. The record is from RNAcentral.